GAAAAAUGAUGGUUGAUGUUCACAACAUGUUUCACCUUUAAUGUCCUUUAAAUCAAGAACUUGAAUUACUAGAAUCGUACACAAACCAUAUUCUGCACUAUUAAAUUAAUGAUACAAUUUGGCCAUCACUUUCAUGUCUGCAUUUGGAGGCAGUAGUGGAGCAACAUUUAGAGCAGCAAGCUUGUAACUAACUAAGAUAAUCUAGGGCAGAAAUGCAUAAGCACCUCAUUCUUUCUCUCUAAAUAAUUUGACAUGUAUAGUCCCUUAAGCCUUAUUUGGUUUACUAGAGGUGGUUUACAUGUCUUUAUGUUUGAUCGAAUCAACUUGUGUGUCUGUGUGGGCAUUUCAGCAAUUCUUUCUGCUGCACUGCAGUUUUUUGUAUUAGCAGACUGUGUUCAUAUUUAAUAUUCCACUUGAUAGCAUUGAUUCAUGUUUUAAAUUAAAAAACACAUUGUGUUGGUUACAGCCAAGGUUACAAUCAAAUUAAAUCAAAUCAACUGGUAUAACAUCAUAAUGUCUGAUGUAUUUUUAAAAAAUUAUAAUUACAAUUAAGAUAUGUGAAUUAUGUAUACCACUUCCUUAAACACCACUGACACAAAAUAAGCAACAGAGAGAAAAAAUGCCAUGACCAUAUACCGAGUGAGAAAAAAUGUGCUGACCAGUCACUCCCACCCUCUAUAAAAGAGGCAGCUCUGAACUUCAGCAUGAAAUGAAAGCUUCCCAACACAGCAUCUUGGGACUCCACCAGAAACUUCCCACUCAUACUUUUCUGGAACAAGCUGAGGCUCCACUGAAGUGCCACCAUGAGCACGGACGUGGAGAUGGAGCAGUAUGGCCCAGCGGCCAUUUACCUCCGAAAACCAGAGAAGGAGAGGAUUGAGGCACAAGCCAGUCCUUUUGAUGCCAAAACUGCCGUCUUUGUGGCUGAUGCGGAUGAGAUGUACCUCAAGGGUAAACUUGUGAAGAAAGAGGGUGGCAAAGCCACGGUUGACACAGACAGU
Molecule: long non-coding RNA, 1001 nt
Organism: Micropterus dolomieu (smallmouth bass)
Lineage: Eukaryota; Metazoa; Chordata; Actinopteri; Centrarchiformes; Centrarchidae
Exons: 3
Source: RefSeq, a predicted model, not a curated record